Molecule: ribosomal RNA, 497 nt
Filed under: uncultured bacterium
Lineage: Bacteria
Description: partial 16S ribosomal RNA
Rfam family: Bacterial small subunit ribosomal RNA
Source: RNAcentral
GAUGAACGCUGGCGGCGUGCCUAAUACAUGCAAGUCGAGCGAACAGACGAGGAGCUUGCUCCUCUGACGUUAGCGGCGGACGGGUGAGUAACACGUGGAUAACCUACCUAUAAGACUGGGAUAACUUCGGGAAACCGGAGCUAAUACCGGAUAAUAUAUUGAACCGCAUGGUUCAAUAGUGAAAGACGGUUUUGCUGUCACUUAUAGAUGGAUCCGCGCCGCAUUAGCUAGUUGGUAAGGUAACGGCUUACCAAGGCAACGAUGCGUAGCCGACCUGAGAGGGUGAUCGGCCACACUGGAACUGAGACACGGUCCAGACUCCUACGGGAGGCGGCAGUAGGGAAUCUUCCGCAAUGGGCGAAAGCCUGACGGAGCAACGCCGCGUGAGUGAUGAAGAUCUUCGGAUCGUAAAACUCUGUUAUUAGGGAAGAACAAAUGUGUAAGUAACUAUGCACGUCUUGACGGUACCUAAUCAGAAAGCCACGGCUAACUACGUG